CGCGUAGGCGGCUGAUCAAGUCGAGGGUGAAAGCCCGUGGCUCAACCACGGAAUGGCCUUCGAUACUGGUUGGCUUGAGACCGGAAGAGGACAGCGGAACUGCGAGUGUAGAGGUGAAAUUCGUAGAUAUUCGCAAGAACACCAGUGGCGAAGGCGGCUGUCUGGUCCGGUUCUGACGCUGAGGCGCGAAAGCGUGGGGAGCAAACA
This 207-nucleotide ribosomal RNA is filed under the name uncultured bacterium. Its description in RNAcentral is "partial 16S ribosomal RNA". It matches the Rfam family "Bacterial small subunit ribosomal RNA", at positions 568 to 774 of the family's 1533-position model. The record is from RNAcentral.